CGAGGCGAACCGGGGAAAGUGAAACAUCUCAGUACCCCGAGGAAAAGAAAUCAACCGAGAUUCCCCCAGUAGCGGCGAGCGAACAGGGAGCAGCCCAGAGUCAACAUCAAUAUUUACCGCAGGAGAAAGAUCUGGAAAGGCCGGCAAUAAAGGGUGAUAGCCCCGUAUCUGAAGCGGUAAGUGUUGUGAACUCGAAGAGUAAGGCGGGACACGUGUUAUCCUGUCUGAAUAUGGGGGGACCAUCCUCCAAGGCUAAAUACUCCUGACUGACCGAUAGUGAACCAGUACCGUGAGGGAAAGGCGAAAAGAACCCCGGCGAGGGGAGUGAAAUAGAACCUGAAACCGUGUACGUACAAGCAGUGGGAGCACCCGAAAGGGUGUGACUGCGUACCUUUUGUAUAAUGGGUCAGCGACUUAUAUUCUGUAGCAAGGUUAACCGCAUAGGGGAGCCGUAGGGAAACCGAGUCUUAACUGGGCGUUAAGUUGCAGGGUAUAGACCCGAAACCCGGUGAUCUAGCCAUGGGCAGGUUGAAG
RNAcentral lists this ribosomal RNA (534 nucleotides) under Arsenophonus endosymbiont of Bemisia tabaci. Its description in RNAcentral is "partial 23S ribosomal RNA". It matches the Rfam family "Bacterial large subunit ribosomal RNA", at positions 175 to 750 of the family's 2925-position model. The record is from RNAcentral. Lineage: Bacteria; Pseudomonadati; Pseudomonadota; Gammaproteobacteria; Enterobacterales; Morganellaceae.